This 253-nucleotide ribosomal RNA is filed under the name uncultured bacterium. Its description in RNAcentral is "partial 16S ribosomal RNA". It matches the Rfam family "Bacterial small subunit ribosomal RNA", at positions 524 to 776 of the family's 1533-position model. The record is from RNAcentral.
UACGAAGGGGGCUAGCGUUGUUCGGAAUUACUGGGCGUAAAGCGCGUGUAGGCGGGUCUUUAAGUCAGGGGUGAAAUGCCAAGGCUCAACCUUGGAACUGCCUUUGAUACUGGAGAUCUUGAGUCCGGGAGAGGUGAGUGGAACUGCGAGUGUAGAGGUGAAAUUCGUAGAUAUUCGCAAGAACACCGGUGGCGAAGGCGGCGACCUGGUCCGAUACUGACGCUGAGGCGCGAAAGCGUGGGGAGCAAACAGG